CGGGUGGACACCUUGACCUUGACCUUGAGGAACUGGGAGCAGAGAAACAAAUCAAGCCAUCUCAGACUUGCAACCUAGAGGACUGUGAAAUAAUAAAGAUGUACAGAUUUAAGCAGAUAAAUGCUACCUGAGAGAAACAGAAGAUAAAACUACCACCAGGACGCACCAGCAGCAUGACACAGGGCCAGUGACUUCGGCUGCUAAAAUCAAGACGUACACCAGAGGGCGCUGCAGUUAAAGAGCGAGGCAGAGGUAGAAAUGGACAAAGAGUCGCCCGCUUGAUACAGGGGAUCACACUUGUCCUGCCGGAUUGUCUUGGAAGAAGGACUAUGGUGGAGGAAAGGACUCCCGGCCUUCAGGGAAGGGUAGAGGGUGAGGGGACAAGUGAGCCCCAACCUCAAGCUUGAUGUAAGUGGAGGGCCAAGUCUACUGGGUCCUUCAGGAACCAUGAGCAUAAGAACUUCCGGAACCUCUGCAAAUGUGUGCUUGCUGACUAGUGCCUGCUUCCUGUCAAAAACACACAAAGAAAAGGUUCCACACACUUGCUUCCUGGGCAGCAAAAGAGAUAAAGAGGAGAAAGCAGGUGAUGGGUGAACUGGCUCUAGGCAGAUGGGGAGAGAAUGGCCCUAGGGGACAGUGAGGGGCUGCUUUGUUAGGAGAGGAUGAAGGCUGAUUUUUGGUGGCCAGAACAGGGAAAGAGAUAAAAGCCCGGAGACUCAUAAGGAGUCUCUGAAAGGACCCUGACACUGAGCAGGAGAAAG
RNAcentral lists this long non-coding RNA (761 nucleotides) under Homo sapiens (human). RNAcentral describes it as "HSALNT0115112". The record is from RNAcentral. Lineage: Eukaryota; Metazoa; Chordata; Mammalia; Primates; Hominidae.